Molecule: ribosomal RNA, 500 nt
Filed under: uncultured bacterium
Lineage: Bacteria
Description: partial 16S ribosomal RNA
Rfam family: Bacterial small subunit ribosomal RNA
Source: RNAcentral
AUUGAACGCUGGCGGCAUGCCUUACACAUGCAAGUCGAACGGCAGCGCGGGAGCAAUCCUGGUGGCGAGUGGCGAACGGGUGAGUAAUAUAACGGAACGUGCCCAGUCGUGGGGGAUAACGCAGCGAAAGCUGUGCUAAUACCGCAUACGAUCUAAGGAUGAAAGCGGGGGAUCGCAAGACCUCGCGCGAUUGGAGCGGCCGAUAUCAGAUUAGCUAGUUGGUGGGGUAAAGGCCCACCAAGGCGACGAUCUGUAGCUGGUCUGAGAGGACGCCCAGCCACACUGGAACUGAGACACGGUCCAGACUCCUACGGGAGGCAGCAGUGGGGAAUUUUGGACAAUGGGCGCAAGCCUGAUCCAGAAAUGCCGCGUGCAGGAUGAAGGCCUUCGGGUUGUAAACUGCUUUUGUACGGAACGAAACGGCCCUUUCUAAUACAGGGGGCUAAUGACGGUACCGUAAGAAUAAGCACCGGCUAACUACGUGCCAGCAGCCGCCGUAA